AGUGAACGCUGGCGGUAGGCCUAACACAUGCAAGUCGAACGGCAGCACAGUAAGAGCUUGCUCUUACGGGUGGCGAGUGGCGGACGGGUGAGGAAUACAUCGGAAUCUACUUUUUCGUGGGGGAUAACGUAGGGAAACUUACGCUAAUACCGCAUACGACCUACGGGUGAAAGCAGGGGAUCUUCGGACCUUUCGCGAUUGAAUGAGCCGAUGUCGGAUUAGCUAGUUGGCGGGGUAAAGGCCCACCAAGGCGACGAUCCGUAGCUGGUCUGAGAGGAUGAUCAGCCACACUGGAACUGAGACACGGUCCGGACUCCUACGGGAGGCAGCAGUGGGGAAUAUUGGACAAUGGGCGCAAGCCUGAUCCAGCAAUACCGCGUGGGUGAAGAAGGCCUUCGGGUUGUAAAGCCCCUUUGUUGGGAAAGAAAAGCAGCAGGUUAAUACCCCGCUGUUCUGACGGUACCCAAAGAAUAAGCACCGGCUAACUUCGUG
RNAcentral lists this ribosomal RNA (492 nucleotides) under uncultured bacterium. RNAcentral describes it as "partial 16S ribosomal RNA". It matches the Rfam family "Bacterial small subunit ribosomal RNA", at positions 29 to 507 of the family's 1533-position model. The record is from RNAcentral.